RNAcentral lists this ribosomal RNA (443 nucleotides) under uncultured bacterium. Its description in RNAcentral is "SSU rRNA". It matches the Rfam family "Bacterial small subunit ribosomal RNA", at positions 26 to 518 of the family's 1533-position model. The record is from RNAcentral.
AGAACGAACGCUGGCGGCAGGCUUAACACAUGCAAGUCGAACGCCCUCGCAAGGGGGAGUGGCAGACGGGUGAGUAACACGUGGGAACAUACCCUUCGGUUCGGAACAACGCCGGGAAACUGGCGCUAAUACCGGAUACGGCUUUUGAGCGAAAGAUUUAUCGCCGAAGGAUUGGCCCGCGUUCGAUUAGCUUGUUGGUGAGGUAACGGCUCACCAAGGCGACGAUCGAUAGCUGGUCUGAGAGGAUGGCCAGCCACAUUGGGACUGAGACACGGCCCAAACUCCUACGGGAGGCAGCAGUGGGGAAUAUUGGACAAUGGCGCAAGCCUGAUCCAGCCAUGCCGCGUGAGUGAUGACGGCCUUAGGGUUGUAAAGCUCUUUCGCACGCGACGAUAAUGACGGUAGCGUGAGAAGAGGCCCGGCUAACUCGUGCCAGCAGCCGC